This 798-nucleotide long non-coding RNA is filed under the name Monodelphis domestica (gray short-tailed opossum). RNAcentral describes it as "lncRNA (ENSMODG00000045350.1)". The record is from RNAcentral. Lineage: Eukaryota; Metazoa; Chordata; Mammalia; Didelphimorphia; Didelphidae.
UAAAAUUUUACUUGUUUCUGCUAAUGGUUUUAAGGUAAUGGGUCUUGGUCUACAGCAGUAGUAAGAAAACCCUUCAUCGCAAAGUACUGAGACAACCAGCUAAUCUCAGUUAGCCUGGUAAACAAGGAAAUCAGAACUAAAGAAGACAGGCUGAGGAGAAGAAAGAAAAAGAACUCUCAGGACCCAAGCAUCCAGAUUCUUUAAGGGCCAGUUAGCCCCUUCCUAAGACACUCCCGUGACCCUCCUCUCCUCUCCGGGACUCACCAUCAUUUUACCAGACUGUGUUGACACCUGAUUGACUUAGCCUGAAACAGCUCGGAACUCCUGAGCUCAAGAGAGUCACCAGCCUCAGCCUGGGAUUACAGAUAUAUCUGAAGGUUUUCCUGAUUUCAAAGUGAUGCGGCUUCCCUUUGAAACCAUUUGGAAUUUGCUUUGGACCACAGGCAUAAAACUUCUUGAUUCCCCUCUGUUGGUCUCUAACGUGUCCCUUGGGCCGGCCUGGUAGGCCCUCAGCAGGUAUCAGAAGAGAAGAGAAGACCCUCGAGAAUUAGGACCACAAAGUUGGGUAUGGGAAAAGAAUUUUAAAGGCAGGUACAAGGCAAGUGAUUCAACUUUGACCAGCUGUUAUAAUACCUAAAAUGGACAGCCUUUUUCUUCCUUGAAGGAGUUGCCUGGGCAUGGGCACUGGAGCCCUGCAGGAAGGACAGAAAUGGGAACAUGAUUGGAAAACUAAAAGAAAAAAAAAAGAAAAAGGGAAAGUAUAGUCAAAGCAAGGUUGGGUGGGAUUUUUUUUUUUUG